AUUGAACGCUGGCGGCAUGCCUUACACAUGCAAGUCGAACGGCAGCACGGGUGCUUGCACCUGGUGGCGAGUGGCGAACGGGUGAGUAAUACAUCGGAACAUGUCCUGUAGUGGGGGAUAGCCCGGCGAAAGCCGGAUUAAUACCGCAUACGAUCUACGGAUGAAAGCGGGGGACCUUCGGGCCUCGCGCUAUAGGGUUGGCCGAUGGCUGAUUAGCUAGUUGGUGGGGUAAAGGCCUACCAAGGCGACGAUCAGUAGCUGGUCUGAGAGGACGACCAGCCACACUGGGACUGAGACACGGCCCAGACUCCUACGGGAGGCAGCAGUGGGGAAUUUUGGACAAUGGGCGAAAGCCUGAUCCAGCAAUGCCGCGUGUGUGAAGAAGGCCUUCGGGUUGUAAAGCACUUUUGUCCGGAAAGAAAUCCUUGGCUCUAAUACAGUCGGGGGAUGGCGGUACCGGAAGAAUAAGCACCGGCUAACUACGUG
This 486-nucleotide ribosomal RNA is filed under the name uncultured bacterium. RNAcentral describes it as "partial 16S ribosomal RNA". It matches the Rfam family "Bacterial small subunit ribosomal RNA", at positions 30 to 507 of the family's 1533-position model. The record is from RNAcentral.